UGCAGUCGAACGACUCUGGUAUUGAUUGGUGCUUGCAUCAUGAUUUACAUUUGAGUGAGUGGCGAACUGGUGAGUAACACGUGGGAAACCUGCCCAGAAGCGGGGGAUAACACCUGGAAACAGAUGCUAAUACCGCAUAACAACUUGGACCGCAUGGUCCGAGUUUGAAAGAUGGCUUCGGCUAUCACUUUUGGAUGGUCCCGCGGCGUAUUAGCUAGAUGGUGGGGUAACGGCUCACCAUGGCAAUGAUACGUAGCCGACCUGAGAGGGUAAUCGGCCACAUUGGGACUGAGACACGGCCCAAACUCCUACGGGAGGCAGCAGUAGGGAAUCUUCCACAAUGGACGAAAGUCUGAUGGAGCAACGCCGCGUGAGUGAAGAAGGGUUUCGGCUCGUAAAACUCUGUUGUUAAAGAAGAACAUAUCUGAGAGUAACUGUUCAGGUAUUGACGGUAUUUAACCAGAAAGCCACGGCUAACUACGUGCCAGCAGCCGCGGUAAUACGUAGGUGGCAAGCGUUGUCCGGAUUUAUUGGGCGUAAAGCGAGCGCAGGCGGUUUUUUAAGUCUGAUGUGAAAGCCUUCGGCUCAACCGAAGAAGUGCAUCGGAAACUGGGAAACUUGAGUGCAGAAGAGGACAGUGGAACUCCAUGUGUAGCGGUGAAAUGCGUAGAUAUAUGGAAGAACACCAGUGGCGAAAGCGGCUGUCUGGUCUGUAACUGACGCUGAGGCUCGAAAGUAUGGGUAGCAACAGAUUAGAUACCCUGGUAGUCAUACCGUAAACGAUGAAUGCUAAGUGUUGGAGGGUUUCCGCCCUUUCAGUGCUGCAGCUAAC
RNAcentral lists this ribosomal RNA (832 nucleotides) under Lactiplantibacillus plantarum. RNAcentral's name for it is "bacterial SSU rRNA". It matches the Rfam family "Bacterial small subunit ribosomal RNA", at positions 56 to 856 of the family's 1533-position model. The record is from RNAcentral. Lineage: Bacteria; Bacillati; Bacillota; Bacilli; Lactobacillales; Lactobacillaceae.